Molecule: ribosomal RNA, 395 nt
Filed under: Ablepharus kitaibelii
Lineage: Eukaryota; Metazoa; Chordata; Lepidosauria; Squamata; Scincidae
Description: partial large subunit ribosomal RNA
Rfam family: Bacterial large subunit ribosomal RNA
Source: RNAcentral
UAAUUGAGGGCAAACCUGUCUCCUGCACCCAAUCAGUGAAAUUGAUCUUCUGGUACAAAAGCCAGAAUAAUUACAUAAGACGAGAAGACCCUGUGGAGCUUAAAAUUUACAACUACUUAAAAACUAGUAUCAAUUUUAAGUUGGGGCGACUUCGGAACAAAACAAAACUUCCGAGCUAGGAGUUAACUACUCCAAAUAAGGCCAACAAGCCAACUAAACCGACCCAGUCACACUGAUCAACGAACCAAGUUACCCCAGGGAUAACAGCGCAAUCCCCUCCAAGAGUCCAUAUCGACAAGGGGGUUUACGACCUCGAUGUUGGAUCAGGACACCCUAAUGGUGCAGCCGCUAUUAAAGGUUCGUUUGUUCAACGAUUAAUAGUCCUACGUGAUCUG